RNAcentral lists this non-coding RNA (28 nucleotides) under Mus musculus (house mouse). The record is from RNAcentral. Lineage: Eukaryota; Metazoa; Chordata; Mammalia; Rodentia; Muridae.
UGAGCUAUGAGGUAAGGUUCUUUCUGUG